Long non-coding RNA from Papilio xuthus (Asian swallowtail), 2402 nucleotides. RefSeq lists it as uncharacterized. Lineage: Eukaryota; Metazoa; Arthropoda; Insecta; Lepidoptera; Papilionidae. The transcript is spliced from 4 exons. The record is from RefSeq and is a predicted model, not a curated record.
UAUUCUAAAUGUCUUUUAAUGUAAUGAGCAUGCUGUUUAAUUACACGUUUAUUAAUAUUUACAAGCUAGAUCUAUAAAUAUUACUAAUUUGCAAUUUAAGGCUAUUAAUUAACCUGUAAGUUUUUAUCUACUUUAAACUAUUUCUCGUCCGCCGCCAGCCUUAUACGCUAACGUGGGUAAUUAAGUCCAUAUAUAAGUAUACGUACACGAAGCAAUCUUUUUUUACAUUCACAGCGCACUUUCAACGAUAAUUAGUGAAAGUGUGUUGCACGAUGUUUUUUUUCUACUUUAAUCUGUGCUAAUCAAUUAUGUUCAAUGAUUAUUGAUGUUCUUAAUUGUUACACUUUUUAUGUUUAUCGGCAACUUUUUUCCUUGUUGUUAACUUAAUUAAAAAUUAUGAAAAAAAUACGAUUUAAAGUCGUGACCGCACCCUUUUUACACAAAGAUGAAAAGACAUUAAAAAAAACUGAACAGCAAGUACCAAGACGGAUCGCGCCGCAGUAUAUUGAUCGAAAUUCAAGUUCAGAACAAAAAGUGGACCGGCGGCGGCGCUCUCUAUCGGGCGCGCGCUGACGCCCGCCCGCGCGAAAGGGACGGAUGCCGACGCCCGCGCCCACGGAGGAGGCCGGUACAUUGAACUCGCCUAGGGUUCGAGGCUGCGCGCUCGAAAUAAUAUCCGUCUCUUUCCGUCAGAAGCGAAACGACGUAACGCGCGCCGAAAUGGGAACGCGACGCGGCGCUCAAAAGAGCGGGCCGCUUGCGUGCGCGCGCCCGCUUUUUCGAAAUGCGAAAGCGUGGCUAUUUUCGAAACGGUUUUCGGUGUUCGCCGGCGAAGUGUUUGAUAGACGAUAUAGAACGAUUUUUGUUAUUUGAAAAGCGUAUGGUGGCGUGGUUUUAGCUGUAACUUGGUUGGUUUUCUCCCCGGUUCGUCUGUAGUGAAAGCUCCGAUGUGCCGGUGAGCGUGCAGUGCCGUGCUGUGGGCCCGUGUCGUAUUCUACGGCAGUGCCCUGACGCCUCGUUGUUUUCAGUUGGGCCUAAAGCAACACCGGGCGAUUACUUUCCCCUCGUCCCCUUGUCUGGAAAAACCUUGACACACAGGUUACAUAACCCACCAAACCACAUUCUUAACUUCAAUGGUUCUCUUUUCACAAUGGUGCUGACUGCUGGUGCCACAUGGUUCCCUGGACAUGCAAUGACUUCUAUAAACAGCCAAAGAUAAUCGCGACGAGGAUGUGGAUUUAACUGCAAGAAACAAUUUUAAAGGGAUAUUUAAAGAUAAAUGCAAUGAUGGAAUAUAACGAUGACAAUUGCUGGUACUUUAAUCCAUAAUAAGUUGUGAUAAAAAAAAAUAAUGAUCUCAAUUAGAUUUUUCAGACGUGAAUACAUUUAGUUGAAAUAUGAAACUCCAACUGGUGACAUAGUAAGAAGCAGGUUAGUAUUUAAUGCGGACGCAAUAGAUUCAUUGUCACACCUAGAGACUUUAAGUGAUCUGUUAGGGCACAUCUUAGUGAUAAACCGUCAACCUCAUCGUUUAAUGGUUACAUAGCAGUCCUUUUGUGCGGAUUUUUCACACUAAGUCUACACUUAAGGAUUCUCUAAAUUACCAUUUAACCAAGAGUCGUAACAUUUGGAGUGCGGCACUCUCUGAGUGUGGUGUGGAAUGAAUGAAGAUAAUUUACGCGAUAUAAAAGAAAUAUUGACUAUUUCACAGAUGAAUUUAACAGAUGGCUAUUGAUAGUCGGGGACGAAGGAAUUUUAUACUGAAGCUUUGUAUAGGUAUUAAAUAAAUUUAUCCAUUCUUUUAUAUUUCUAGAAAAGCACAUUUUUAAGUCUGUGUCGCUAACCGACUAGGUUCUUUGUCAGUUCCUAAUCUGACUAGGCUGUACUGUGUUCAAUUUUCAUUGACUAUUUAAUAUUUUAUUUAUAUAUCCAUCUUAUCUAUUUCGCAGUAUAGUCAUUAGAAUAGCUCUUAGUUUUUUAUUAUAUUUAGUUGUUUAUUUUGUUACCUUUUGUGUUAUUUUUGUUUCUUUUUCUUUGUUGUGAUACAUUUUACAAUAUUAGUGGGUUCUAAUAUUGUUGGAUUUAUCAUUUUUUCCUUUUAGCACCUUGCCCCCCUCAACUGGAACCCGUAGAUCCGAACUUGUGCGCAUUUGACGUUCCGGAGACGCCAUCUUGCGAUCUAUCUGUCACUCUGUCAAAACAACGUUUAAGAAUAAUUCUACAACAUAUUUUUGGUUAUAGAUUAUAGAAUAUUAUGUAUAAAACGUUUUUUUGAUAAUCUGUGGCAGGAAUUUCGCAGUUUGCGCGGCUUCACACAAGUUUGGUGAUACGCGGGCGCAGUUUUGGCGGGAAAUCGUCGCCUUCUUCGUUUUUUUUUUUUUCGUAUAUUUAUUGUUUGUAGU